CCAGAGGCCAGAGUCUGGCAAUCUGCCCCACAGCCCCAGGCAAACCUACUGUUUCAGCAGACACUGGCUUAGAGUUAAGUGCCUGGAUCAAAACUCCCUCCUUAUUCCCAUCAUGUCGAUGGCUUACUGCUUCUCUACCACAGCAAAUCAUGAAACAACCUGAGCCUACCUACUGCAUAUGACAGGCAAGUAACAAGGCAGAACUUGAAGAAAAUGCCAUUUCUGUUCUUCCUUGCUACCUGCUGUUAGGAAGGAGCUAGCAGGUAAGCAGCUUUUAAUUUAAUUUCACUCUGAGUCAAGGUGGACUAUUCUGCAUGUAAAUGUAAUAAUGUAAGUCCUUGAUCCCUCCCUCACAGACACAGAACACAGCCUAGAAUGUGACUCUUAGUAUCCAGGGAGAAUAAAAUUACCCUGCCCAAGGCUGGAGAGAAAUAUGUGCCUAGUGAAAAGAGCAGGGUACACUGGAGCACUGCACAGCUACUGUCCCCUAAACCCAUAUCCACAUCCUUAGUAUCUGUGUGCCCAACAGUGUCACACUGUAUUUACAGGUUGCCAAUGAAAUCCAGUUUAAGGGAGGAUAAAAAUGAUUGCUCCAAGUGUUAUGACAGGAAUGGUUCCCAUGCUGUAUUAGAGGAAAACAGCUGCUGGCAUUUCCUAAACACAAAUUUCUUUGGGGAGAACAACAAAUCAUAAGCCAGAGGUUUCUGCAGGGGAUUUCUGACUGGAAAACUGUGUUUAUUAAUUAUAUGUAAAUUUCAUAAUGUUUUGAUGUCUUGAUCUAGCAAUCUGUAGAACUCACACUGAAAAAUCAAAUGUGAGAAAGGCUUAAUUUGGGAG
RNAcentral lists this long non-coding RNA (837 nucleotides) under Junco hyemalis (dark-eyed junco). Its description in RNAcentral is "lncRNA (ENSJHYG00000017594.1)". The record is from RNAcentral. Lineage: Eukaryota; Metazoa; Chordata; Aves; Passeriformes; Passerellidae.